CACUGAACUUGGUCUUGGCUUCAGUUCCACCCAGAGACAAAGUCCGUUUCCAGGCCAAUUUCCAUAUGAAAGCAGCUGAGAUCUCUUUCCCCAUUCUGGAAUUCCAGGCAGCACCCAGGGCUCUGACUUCUCAGACUCAAGAGUUUUUGCCCAACUUUCCCCCCUCAUCCCAACUCACCCCUAAUCUCCUCCCACUCCAGUUUCUCUGGCCACAGGAUUUCCACUUCUCCCAGCACAGUGUUGUGGCCCUGAGAGAGCGUCUGUGAACUCAACUCCAGAACAACUCGCUUCACGUUUCUCUGAGGAUGACGGUGAGGCCCGAGCCCUGCAGUUCGGAGGAGGCCCCCUUGGACUCUGCAGUUUUGCAGCUGACCCGGGACUACUGUCUGGCAGGGGAGGGCAAAGGAAGAGAAGAAGCACUUUUCUGAUGGGACAUUCGAUGAUGCUUCUUAGUGGGCGUGGCGCUUCCAUUCAAGUCCCCCAUCUCAGUCAGAGCUGGGGACUUGCAGUUUGUCCUUGCCUGACAGGGAUUCGAAGGGCCAAAUUGUUUCUAGAGAAUAAAACGGGCUGGGCUUGGAGAGAUAUGCAGCUUCGACCUGUGCUGCUUAGAACAUCCCCUCCUGGAACCCCGCGAUGCUGUGAGAAGCCCACACUACAUGGCGAGACCACAUGGGGGAAAACUGAGACACUCUGAUCAACAGCCCAGUGCUUCUCUCUGCUGACAGCCAGCAUUGAUGUCCAGCCAAGUAAGUGAGCCUUCUAGCAUGUUCCAACACAGUCAAGACUCCAGAUAACAGCAGCCUUUGCUAAUGCCACAUUGAACCAAAGAACCAUGCAGCUGAGCCUAGUCUUCCAGUUGGCACCACAAAAGCAUCAGAUAUGUGAGUGAGUCCUCUCAGAGGUACCAACCCAUCCAGUCUUCAGAUAACUGCAGCCCCAGCUGACAUCACAUGGAACAGAAGAACCACCCAGCUAAGCCCAGUCAAGCCAUAGAUUCAUGAGAGACAAUGAAUGCUUGUUGUUUUUAAGGCACACCAAUAUGGUGACUGAAAAAAUGAAUCAUUCAGGGAUUGAAUUAAGAUUGCAGUGUGAGUAGGGAAAUUGGAAAACAUCAGAAAAGUGUCAUCUCAAGUAUAUAUUAAUAAUUGAGAAGUGUGGGGGCCUAAUUCUUAGCCUAAUUGCAUAUUUUUAAAUCCCCUGAACUAAGAAAUGAACAUGAAAACUGGCCUAGUAGUGGUAAACCUCUAGAGUUCUGGGCUAACCAACACUGAGACCAUCCCAUCCUACAGGUCUGCCAGCAUGACCCUGGGAACACACGACACCCCACCACCCCUGAAGACAAUUCCUGCUGAUGACCUGAUGGGUGAGAAUUAUCACGCACACGAGGAGAUACGGUGUAUGACUUGCAGUACAUACAGCGAAGGAACAAAGACCACGGCCUUGAAUGAUAGGCAAUAAAGAAAGAAGAAAAGGACUUUAAAAUUUAUAUAUUUAAAAUAGUCAAAAGAUGAAGAAAGAAUUAAAUCCAUAAGGUAGUAAGGGGAUAUUAUGAAAAAAGAGCAAGAAUGGUUGAACAAAAAACGAAACUGAAAUUCUAGAAAUGAAAAGCAAUUGGAAUUUAAAAAGUCUCAUUGGAUGUACUAGACAGUAGACUACAUAUAUCUCACACACACACAAAGAAUUAGUGAAUCUGAAGCCAGAUCUGAGCACUUAAAAUACAGCACAAAGAGCUAACGAGAUACAAAAUAAAAAGGAGUUAAAAGACACAGUGGGCUAUACUGAGUAGUUCCAACACCGGUCUAACGGGGAUCCAAGGAAGAGAAUAUAAAGGGAAUGUGGUGGGUUGUACAAUUCGUCUAGAAACAAAUAUCUGAGUCCUUGAGUUGGAAAAUGAUUGAGUCCCAAAUAACAGCACUUGCUGCACAACUAAAUUAUGAGUUGAGAAUAUAUAUAUUAUUUAAAUGUAAUUGUAACUUUAUUAGAACUCAUUUUCAUAUCAUAUCUUUUGUAAUUUCCGCUAUCAACAAGGCUGGAUCUUUGGUCUAUCUUUCUUCAUUUUCUCUGGCCCUUUCCCCCAUAUCUGUGUCUUUCCUCACUGUGUUUUCCUUAUCAGGAAUGCCCAAGUCCAUCCCCAAGGCCGAGCAGAGCCCUACCACCUCCUGGAAGCCUCCUCUGACCUCCCGGGCAUUGUCUCUACUUUCUCUGAAAUUCUACAGCGUGAAGUCUGUUCACUUUUUUGGCUGUUAGUCCAUUGGCUUUUUAAUGAGCUCUUUGGGAGCUCUUUCAAGUUGAGGGCCUCACUUCAUAUUUCUCUGGGCUCCCCAGUGACUUAAUUUGUUCUCAAUAAAUGUUAGUCCGCUAAUUGAUGGCUAAACCUCUAAAGAUUUGUGAGAGUAAUUUUUGGGAAGAUCAAAG
RNAcentral lists this long non-coding RNA (2415 nucleotides) under Equus caballus (horse). RNAcentral's name for it is "lncRNA (ENSECAG00000029103.3)". The record is from RNAcentral. Lineage: Eukaryota; Metazoa; Chordata; Mammalia; Perissodactyla; Equidae.